This 71-nucleotide transfer RNA is filed under the name Fidelibacterota bacterium. RNAcentral's name for it is "tRNA-Thr". It matches the Rfam family "tRNA". From Rfam's summary of the family: Transfer RNA (tRNA) molecules are approximately 80 nucleotides in length. Their secondary structure includes four short double-helical elements and three loops (D, anti-codon, and T loops). Further hydrogen bonds mediate the characteristic L-shaped molecular structure. tRNAs have two regions of fundamental functional importance: the anti-codon, which is responsible for specific mRNA codon recognition, and the 3' end, to which the tRNAs corresponding amino acid is attached (by aminoacyl-tRNA synthetases). tRNAs cope with the degeneracy of the genetic code in two manners: having more than one tRNA (with a specific anti-codon) for a particular amino acid; and 'wobble' base-pairing, i.e. permitting non-standard base-pairing at the 3rd anti-codon position. Lineage: Bacteria; Pseudomonadati; Fidelibacterota. The record is from RNAcentral.
GCCGGUGUAGCUGAGUGGUUUAGCUUGGUCAUCGUAAGUCCACGACGGGGGUUCGAUUCCCUCCACCGGCU